Molecule: ribosomal RNA, 252 nt
Filed under: uncultured bacterium
Lineage: Bacteria
Description: partial 16S ribosomal RNA
Rfam family: Bacterial small subunit ribosomal RNA
Source: RNAcentral
UACGGAGGAUGCGAGCGUUAUCCGGAUUUAUUGGGUUUAAAGGGAGCGUAGGCGGGUUAUCAAGUCAGCGGUAAAAUCGUGGAGCUCAACUCCAUCCAGCCGUUGAAACUGAUGAUCUUGAGUGGGCGAGAAGUAUGCGGAAUGCGUGGUGUAGCGGUGAAAUGCAUAGAUAUCACGCAGAACUCCGAUUGCGAAGGCAGCAUACCGGCGCCCGACUGACGCUGAAGCACGAAAGCGUGGGUAUCGAACAGG